Molecule: ribosomal RNA, 921 nt
Filed under: Triticum aestivum (bread wheat)
Lineage: Eukaryota; Viridiplantae; Streptophyta; Magnoliopsida; Poales; Poaceae
Description: partial small subunit ribosomal RNA
Source: RNAcentral
AUGAUCCUUGACAUUAAUAUUACCAAGCAGCUAAUUUACGUGGAGAUGAUCAUUGCCAUUAUUUGCGCCCACUUUCCCCCGCAUUGGCCAUAUGUGACCUUUGCAUGCACAAACGGAAAAAAGGAGGAGAGAGUGAUUUCAGAGGUGGAGAGGACUUUGCGGGCUCUACUAAAGGCAAAAUUGUUGGGUUUUGCGGCGGUGGAGAGAGCGUGUUGGUGGCAAAAAUCGCGGCUCACAGAGAUCAAGGAAGGGGAUGCCGGCACUCGCUUUUUCCAUCUCAAAGCUAGCGGAAGAAGGCGCAAGAACUACAUCCCGGCACUGAAGGGGAGGGAUGGGCUAGUAUCUGAUCAUGUCGGCAAGGCGGAACUGUUGUUUGACAUGUUGAAGCAACACUUGGGCUCCUCAUCUAUGGAGCCACUACAAAGAUUUCUUCAGUUGGCAACAGAGAGAAACAUUCUAUCGCAGCUACGCCCGAGGGUGGCGCGCUUCCUGUCUAGCUUCUAUGCCGAUGAUGUGGCAUUGUUCAUUAACUCGGUGACUGAGAGCUUCAAUGCAGUACAAGCCAUCCUCACACCAUGUGGUAAUGCCUCCAGGUCAAGGACUAACGUGACCAGGUCUGUGGCAUAUCAAAUAGCAUGUUCGAACAUUCACAGGCAGCCAAUGUUCGCUAUUUUCAGAGGAGAGCCGGGAGCUUUCCCAUGUCAGUACCUCGGGCUUCCUAUUGGGGUCCGGAAGCCAAGGAGGGUGGAGAUGCAGCCGCCAAUUGAUAAACUUGCUGGAAGAUUAUCUAAUAGAAAGGGGAGGAUGAUGAGUCGUAUGGGAAGACUGGUGUAUAUUAACUUUGUGGUCACGUCCACAUCUACAUACUACCUAACGGUUUCCAACCGGAUAUGUGGCCGAUCAAGAGAGUGGAUAAACUGA